GACGAACGCUGGCGGCGUGCCUAAUACAUGCAAGUCGAGCGGACUGAUUAAGAGCUUGCUCUUAUGACGUUAGCGGCGGACGGGUGAGUAACACGUGGGCAACCUGCCCUGUAGAUCGGGAUAACACCGAGAAAUCGGUGCUAAUACCGGGUAAUAUCUGAGAUCACAUGAUCUUAGGUUAAAAGAUGGCUCCGGCUAUCACUACAGGAUGGGCCCGCGGCGCAUUAGCUAGUUGGUAAGGUAAUGGCUUACCAAGGCGACGAUGCGUAGCCGACCUGAGAGGGUGAGCGGCCACACUGGGACUGAGACACGGCCCAGACUCCUACGGGAGGCAGCAGUAGGGAAUCUUCCGCAAUGGACGAAAGUCUGACGGAGCAACGCCGCGUGAGUGAUGAAGGGUUUCGGCGCGUAAAGCUCUGUUGUUAGGGAAGAAACAGUACCGAACGAACUAGGUCGGUACCUUGACGGUACCUAACCAGAAAGCCACGGCUAACUACGUG
Molecule: ribosomal RNA, 500 nt
Filed under: uncultured bacterium
Lineage: Bacteria
Description: partial 16S ribosomal RNA
Rfam family: Bacterial small subunit ribosomal RNA
Source: RNAcentral